Molecule: ribosomal RNA, 692 nt
Filed under: uncultured Bacteroidales bacterium
Lineage: Bacteria; Pseudomonadati; Bacteroidota; Bacteroidia; Bacteroidales
Description: bacterial SSU rRNA
Rfam family: Bacterial small subunit ribosomal RNA
Source: RNAcentral
AACGCUAGCUACAGGCUUAACACAUGCAAGUCGAGGGGCAGCAUAAAAGUAGCAAUACUUUGGUGGCGACCGGCGCACGGGUGAGUAACGCGUAUGCAACCUACCUAUCAGAGGGGGAUAACCCGGCGAAAGUCGGACUAAUACCGCAUAAAACAGGGGCACCGCGUGGUGAUAUUUGUUAAAGAUUAAUUGCUGAUAGAUGGGCAUGCGUUCCAUUAGGUAGUUGGUGAGGUAAUGGCUCACCAAGCCGACGAUGGAUAGGGGAACUGAGAGGUUGGUCCCCCACACUGGUACUGAGACACGGACCAGACUCCUACGGGAGGCAGCAGUGAGGAAUAUUGGUCAAUGGGCGAGAGCCUGAACCAGCCAAGUCGCGUGAAGGAAGAAGGAUCUAUGGUUCGUAAACUUCUUUUGCAGGGGAAUAAAGUGGAGGACGUGUCCUCUUUUGUAUGUACCCUGAGAAUAAGGAUCGGCUAACUCCGUGCCAGCAGCCGCGGUAAUACGGAGGAUCCGAGCGUUAUCCGGAUUUAUUGGGUUUAAAGGGUGCGUAGGUGGUUUAAUAAGUCAGCGGUGAAAGUUUGCAGCUUAACUGUAAAAAUGCCGUUGAAACUGUUAGACUUGAGUGUAAAUGAGGUAGGCGGAAUGCGUGGUGUAGCGGUGAAAUGCUUAGAUAUCACGAAGAACUCCGAUUG